UACGUAGGGGCCGAGCGUUGCCCGGAGUUAUUGGGCGUAAAGCGCGCGCAGGCGGCUUGACGCGCCCGACGUGAAAGCCCCCGGCUUAACCGGGGAGGGUCGUCGGGUACGGUCAGGCUUGAGGGCGGGAGAGGGUGGUGGAAUUCCCGGUGUAGUGGUGAAAUGCGUAGAUAUCGGGAGGAACACCAGUGGCGAAGGCGGCUUUCUGGUCUGCUCUUGACGCUGAGGCGCGAAAGCUAGGGUAGCAAACGGG
RNAcentral lists this ribosomal RNA (253 nucleotides) under uncultured bacterium. Its description in RNAcentral is "partial 16S ribosomal RNA". It matches the Rfam family "Bacterial small subunit ribosomal RNA", at positions 524 to 776 of the family's 1533-position model. The record is from RNAcentral.